RNAcentral lists this long non-coding RNA (1134 nucleotides) under Panax ginseng (ginseng). RNAcentral's name for it is "long non-coding RNA (PGIN_LNC005775)". Lineage: Eukaryota; Viridiplantae; Streptophyta; Magnoliopsida; Apiales; Araliaceae. The record is from RNAcentral.
GCUAGUUCUAUAGAGAAUUAAAAGAGUAAAUAUUAUAGAGAUAACAAAUUAGAUGAAUAACAAAUUUUCCACUAGAAAUACUAUUUGGAAUAAAUCAGUUUCAUAACUCCCAAAAAAAGACAGAAAUGCAUACAUCAGUCAAUGACCCUCUCCUGAGCAUUAAAGGAGUAAAAUGGACUUGAAAGCUUCAACUUUUGACUUGCAUUUACUUCUGUCCCCUCUGUUUUCCUCCAUACAUUUCUUCAGAGCUUCAUCCACAGUAGUAGUAGUACUCUUGGCUUUCUCUGUUGCACCACUCUCUCUCUCUUCUCCUCAUCCAUUGCUCACAAUCCAAGAAAAUUCCAAAGAAAUCAAACAAUCUUUCUAGUCUUUUUAUAUAAAAUCUGUAGAGCUUCCCUUGAAUCCUUAAUUAUUUUCAAGAGAAUUGCAAGUCAUUGCUGUCUAGUAAGACAUGAAAAUAGACAUGAACAUAAGACAUAAGCAGAAUAAACUGUAGGAUUACCGGAAAGCCCAGAAGAUACUCCCCGAACAAGAGUAUAUAACUAUUCAUUCAUAACCAAGUACUUAAGUGAGUCAAGAUGGUCAAUAUAUAACCACUGCAAAAAACAUAAUAAUUAAAAAGAUUCAGCAAGAAACUGAAUAAUUAAUUUGUGUUGGAUCCAAAGAAUCGGAUGACUGUUUUUAACAUUAGAAAUAAAUUUACAUUAUAGAUUACCAAUUAGAAUUAGUUCUCCAGAUCAUGAUCCUUUCUUAGUCUACUUAAAACACUAUAAUUCACACAUCAUACUACUUAACAAUAUUAGGCAAAUUCCAACAAUACAUAAAUAAGCAUAACCGCCCAUGUCUUCUAUAGUUCAAUAGUUUUAUGUAACAGCAAAGAAGUUCAAUAGAUUCAAGGAAGAAAGUACAAAAACCUAAACCCUUACCCGUUCGUUUUCAAUAGAUGUUCAACAGAGACAGAGACGACGGAGGCUCUGGCCGGAGAGAGAGCCGCGGAGAUUUUGCAGACCAGAGCUUCGUUCGGCGACGAUGGUAGAAGAGAGAGUCGCUCUGGAUAGAAGAGAGAGGCGCGAUCCUGAAAUUGGGGGAGGAAACCGGAUUUAUUUUUUGACCCCACCAGUAAGAAGAUCCGCG